CCUACGGGUGGCAGCAGUGGGGAAUAUUGGACAAUGGGCGAAAGCCUGUUCCAGCCAUGCCGCGUGUGUGAAGAAGGCCUUCGGGUUGUAAAGCACUUUCAGUGGGGAAGAAAGCCUUGGGGCUAAUACCCUCGAGGAAGGACAUCACCCACAGAAGAAGCACCGGCUAACUCCGUGCCAGCAGCCGCGGUAAUACGGAGGGUGCGAGCGUUAAUCGGAAUUACUGGGCGUAAAGCGCGCGUAGGCGGUCUGAUAAGCCGGUUGUGAAAGCCCCGGGCUCAACCUGGGAACGGCAUCCGGAACUGUCAGGCUAGAGUGCAGGAGAGGAAGGUAGAAUUCCCGGUGUAGCGGUGAAAUGCGUAGAGAUCGGGAGGAAUACCAGUGGCGAAGGCGGCCUUCUGGACUGACACUGACGCUGAGGUGCGAAAGCGUGGGUAGCAAACAGGAUUAGAUACCCUAGUAGUC
Molecule: ribosomal RNA, 465 nt
Filed under: Vreelandella stevensii
Lineage: Bacteria; Pseudomonadati; Pseudomonadota; Gammaproteobacteria; Oceanospirillales; Halomonadaceae
Description: partial 16S ribosomal RNA
Rfam family: Bacterial small subunit ribosomal RNA
Source: RNAcentral